This is a non-coding RNA of Danionella cerebrum, 69 nucleotides long. NCBI's taxonomy places the organism in Eukaryota, Metazoa, Chordata, Actinopteri, Cypriniformes, Danionidae. The record is from the annotation of a GenBank genome assembly.
UUUCCUGUGGCUCAGUCAGUAGAGCAUUGUGCGAGCAACGCAAAGGUCAUCGGUUCAAACCAGGGAAAG